AUGCCAGCGUUCAGGCUGGCCGGGCCAUUAACGAGCCGCCGCCCAGCUUGCCUCCCUGUCUGCUGCGUGCCACCAUGGCCGCACCUCUUGCCGCCUCCGGCCCCGACUGCUGUGCCCCCAGCUCUCUCCUCUGCUCAUCCCGGGCGCCACCCCGUGCUUGCUAGCUUCGCCCUGGACAGCUCCGCCUCUGCCCGCGCCCGGACUCCCGGCGCUCGCCGGCUCCGCCAGGGCCGACUCUGCCCCUGCACGCGGCUGGGCUCCCCGGCCCAGCCGGCCCGCCUCCGCCUGCGGCCUCGCCUCCGUGCACCGGCCUUGGGCCAGCUCUCCAUCGCCACUGCCACCUCCGCGCGCCGGCCGGGUCCGCCACUGCUCCGGGCCGACUCCGCCCUCGUGCGUGCGCACACCCGCACUGACCCGGUCCGGCUGUCGGUUAACCGCUCGUCCGGUCUGCCCCGCCAGCCGGCCGGGUCGCCGUUGCCGCCUCCGCGCGCCGGCUCCACUUUUCCUUGCCGACCAAGUCUCCGCCAUCUCACCGCGCCGACUUCACCCCUGUGCCGGCUGCCCGACUCCCGGACGUCGACUCCUCCGCACGCCCGACCGCACUCGGCCCUCGUGCCGGGGUCAAUCCGGCCGCGCUCCUCCGCCCCGGUGUUGGCCUCCCGCCCAGCGCGCGCAGCUCCGCCCCGCGUCGGCGGUUCUGGGUCGCCGCCUGCGCCCCGCCUGCUCGCUGCAGCCGGCCGCCUGUGCAAAAGAAAAAAGCCGGCUAGGUCAACGCAGGGGCUGGCUGGAAAAAGAUAUUGCUGGUCGCUCAAAAAACAAAAAUGUGUGCGUUUGACUGCACGCAGCUGGCUGGAAUCUGUGUCCGCCUGCCACAUGUGCCUCCGACUGGCCGCACCCGGCUGA
RNAcentral lists this ribosomal RNA (903 nucleotides) under Triticum aestivum (bread wheat). RNAcentral describes it as "partial small subunit ribosomal RNA". Lineage: Eukaryota; Viridiplantae; Streptophyta; Magnoliopsida; Poales; Poaceae. The record is from RNAcentral.